This 253-nucleotide ribosomal RNA is filed under the name uncultured bacterium. Its description in RNAcentral is "partial 16S ribosomal RNA". It matches the Rfam family "Bacterial small subunit ribosomal RNA", at positions 524 to 776 of the family's 1533-position model. The record is from RNAcentral.
UACGUAGGGCGCAAGCGUUAUCCGGAAUUAUUGGGCGUAAAGCGCUCGUAGGCGGUUUGUCGCGUCUGCCGUGAAAGUCCGGGGCUCAACUCCGGAUCUGCGGUGGGUACGGGCAGACUAGAGUGAUGUAGGGGAGACUGGAAUUCCUGGUGUAGCGGUGAAAUGCGCAGAUAUCAGGAGGAACACCGAUGGCGAAGGCAGGUCUCUGGGCAUUAACUGACGCUGAGGAGCGAAAGCGUGGGGAGCGAACAGG